RNAcentral lists this ribosomal RNA (460 nucleotides) under uncultured bacterium. RNAcentral's name for it is "partial 16S ribosomal RNA". It matches the Rfam family "Bacterial small subunit ribosomal RNA", at positions 338 to 795 of the family's 1533-position model. The record is from RNAcentral.
CCUACGGGAGGCAGCAGUGAGGAAUAUUGGUCAAUGGGCGAGAGCCUGAACCAGCCAAGUCGCGUGAAGGAUGACUGCCCUAUGGUUUGUAAACUUCUUUUAUAAAGGAAUAAAACGAGGCACGUGUGCCUUUUUGCAUGUACUUUAUGAAUAAGGAUCGGCUAACUCCGUGCCAGCAGCCGCGGUAAUACGGAGGAUCCGAGCGUUAUCCGGAUUUAUUGGGUUUAAAGGGAGCGUAGAUGGGUUGUUAAGUCAGUUGUGAAAGUGUGCGGCUCAACCGUAAAAUUGCAAUUGAUACUGGCAGUCUUGAGUACAGUAGAGGUAGGCGGAAUGCGUGGUGUAGCGGUGAAAUGCUUAGAUAUCACGAAGAACCCCGAUUGCGAAGGCAGCUUACUAAACUGUGACUGACAUUGAUGCUCGAAAGUGUGGGGAUCAAACAGGAUUAGAUACCCGGGUAGUC